CUUAUUCAUGUAUGAUAUCUGGUGGUAACUUAGCACUUACCUCUAGUGCCAUGUUUCAACCCAUCACACUUUUUGUUAAUGACAGCAUUUCUGCUUGGUUGCCCAGCAUCCUACUUCAGCAUUUUAUUUACAGACUGUCCUGGCUGUCGAAACUCUGCAAGCCACUCUUCGUGGAUAUGCAGAAAACUAGCGCCAAGCCACUCCAGUCAGUGUAAGUCCCACUGCUUGGGCCCAUCACUUAGUGGUCGCUGGGUCCAGCUGCACUUGAUGCUGUACCAAGGGCACAGGUCCGUGCCAAAAGGCACAUCACUGCACUGAUAGUGACAAGUUGGGGCUUCACAGGUAGAGGGUGAUGUUGCUUAUGACAGCUUGCAAGGAUUCACCACAUGGCCCAGUAACACAGCUGCCAUUGUGUUUAAAAUCAUGUACACGCAUAGUCCUGUAACAGCAUGUGCAGUGGUAGGUAGGCAGACACUGUCUGGGCAGACACUGAUGGGUCCAACACAUUUCCUCAAGGAGGUCUAUGUGCCCACCAUUCCCACAGGUUCCCAAAUAUCACCUGCAUGCCUCCUCUCUCCUCUGGUGAUGUAAUCCCCAAAUUCUGAGGGUCACUGCAGGAGUUCUCUGGACUGAUUUGGAUAUCUGCUUGGGAUGUUUUCCAAUUCCCUGGGCUGAAGGGGAAGUCCACCCCUGAGACAGAAAAUUGGCAUUCAUCAUACUCACAGUGCUGGCAGCCCUCCCAGUGAGUAUCCCAAGUGGCCUGAUGUUGCAAGAGGGGAUGAGCUGAGAAGGGAUCUCCAGCUCCUUUAGCUGCAUUGGCCACACACACUUCAUCCCUGGUUACAGGUUGGAGUCCUUCCUGUGUGGUUUAUGUUAGAGCCCUGGUGAGAUCAGUGGAGUCAGUCGUGCUGCUAAUUACCCCGUUUUCUGGUUGCAGCAAGUCUAUGUGCAAGCUUGGGCCUCUAGUUGUUACCCAGUCAGCAUGGUUAUUUGUCUACUUUUUCCCUUUUGCUUCCACCUUCUCCUGUGUUGACACCCCAUGCCUGUGUUAGUGUUGCAUAGGUCUCCCCUACAAUGUGUUUCCUGCCUCUUAGUAUCACAGGCCACUUUGCAGUGCAGAAGGCUCUCAGUGACAUUAGCUCCCUUGGUGCAGCUGGGGUCAUGAUCUUGCAUGAACCAGGACAGAUGUCAGCAUGGGCUCCAAAUGGGGCAUGGUCCACAGCAUCGGCCUUUUCCCCUCUUCAUCUACUCUCCAGGGCAUAUUUCGCUAGCCUAGGUAGGACAGUGCUUCAACCCUAUAGCUGCCAGGUUAACAUUAAUAAAUGAAUUAGACUCCUGCAAAUAGCACCAUCGCAGGGGUGAGUGACAUCUUUGCACCUGAACUGCAAGCAGUUUAAAAACAGGAUGCCCAAGUGGGUUGUUAUUUCUUCGGGUAACCCACAGUUUUGCUUCUCCCUUCUUAGGUGGGAGGAAACACUUCCCACACUGCAUCAGCAGCAUACCAGGCUUGAGAUAAGAAUGAGACUGGAGGUUUCAGACAAGGGUCUCCAGGCUGGUUUUCCCUGUAACAAUCUCCCAUCUUCUUCCUGAUGGUUGAUUGCUGCAUGCAUUUUGCUGAACCCUGGUAUGCUUCCCUCAUUUUUGUGUUUCAGUCUCCUCGUGUCACACUUGCUACAAGGCUUGGGCAAGGAGUAUGUGACAGAUGUGUGGGCUGGGGGAGUCACAGUAGUACAGGUGGGGUAAUUUCAAAGUGAGAGUAGAGAAUGGCACAGCCAAAGCUAUCUCUUUAGGGAGAGAUAUCUUUCCCUAUGGGGUUAUUAGUGAGUUUCUGUGUAAGAAACCUGGAAACCACCCGGUCCCACAGCAACAAGAGCAAGUGCCUCCUGCCACAAGUGCCUCUCCUUCCAUAUCUGUGCCAGGGACAUGCUUGUAUUUCAGCAGUGGGUUCUGGGCCAGCUCCAAGUGGGUUGUCUUUCUUGACCGGGUCUAGCAUGGAGUCUACCUCUUCUUGCCUUUAAGGAAUGUAGCCUGCCUACCACCUUGACCAGGACCUUGCUCAGUAGGGCAGUAUUUAUAUGGUGUGGACAGACCAGCCUGUCCUGCAAGAGCCAAUGGCUGCACCUACCCAUGCUACCCCCAACAGUAGGUAUGGCUCAUAGUGGGUGUUUUGGUACCUGAUACAGAGGUAGUGGCAGAGGAGUGCCCAAAGGGUGCACUUGCCAUUCGUGAACAAGACUAUGGGGCUUGGCACAGGACCCUGCUUUGUUCAGGUCCCAUAUGGCUGUGUAAGUAGCAGACAUCCCUUCUUUGUGUCUCUUCAGAGCCACUGGUCUUAGUGAUUGUUGCCUUUAGCAUGCAUACCUGUAAAACAAAGUGGAAUUCACUUUUCCCAAGUCCAAACUCUUCAGUUUAUAGGAUCACACUUCCCAUGCAUCACUCUCUUUAUGUGAAGGUACACGAUCACCUGCCUUCACUACUGCUUUACCAAUCUGCACUAUUUUGCUGGAGCCAUCCAUGAAAAGCUGUGUAUUUCUGAUCCAUCCCUCUGAAAGGGUGCCACUAGGCUGUGGCUGCUUUGGGGAGGGGUCUGUACUCAUCCUUAAGUGCAGACAUGCUGUGUUUCAGCAGAUUUUUACACUAACAGAGCUCACAUCUUGCCACAGUGGGAGGCAGCCAUGUAUCUUCCCCACUUCUGUGAACAGGGUCAAUGCAUUCACAUGUGGGCUGGGAACAUUUGCUGCCUGGUCUCCCACCAGGGCUCCUGUCUGUUAUAGUGCUCAUUAGGGAAAUGUAGCACAGAGCUGUUGCCUGCAGAGCUGUUCCUGUCU
Oxyura jamaicensis (ruddy duck) is the source of this 2828-nucleotide long non-coding RNA. RefSeq lists it as uncharacterized. Lineage: Eukaryota; Metazoa; Chordata; Aves; Anseriformes; Anatidae. The transcript is spliced from 3 exons. The record is from RefSeq and is a predicted model, not a curated record.